UGGGGAAUCUUGGACAAUGGGCGCAAGCCUGAUCCAGCCAUGCCGCGUGGAUGAUGAAGGCCUUAGGGUUGUAAAAUCCUUUCGUUGGGGACGAUAAUGACGGUACCCAAAGAAGAAGCUCCGGCUAACUUCGUGCCAGCAGCCGCGGUAAUACGAAGGGGGCUAGCGUUGUUCGGAUUUACUGGGCGUAAAGCGCACGUAGGCGGAUUGUUAAGUCAGAGGUGAAAUCCCGGAGCUCAACUUCGGAACUGCCUUUGAUACUGGCAAUCUAGAGUCCGGAAGAGGUUAGUGGAAUUCCCAGUGUAGAGGUGAAAUUCGUAGAUAUUGGGAAGAACACCAGUGGCGAAGGCGGCUAACUGGUCCGGUACUGACGCUGAGGUGCGAAAGCGUGGGGAGCAAACAGGAUUAGAUACCCCAGUAGUCCCUGAGCGGGCUGGCAAGGCGCAU
RNAcentral lists this ribosomal RNA (447 nucleotides) under uncultured bacterium. RNAcentral's name for it is "bacterial SSU rRNA". It matches the Rfam family "Bacterial small subunit ribosomal RNA", at positions 355 to 825 of the family's 1533-position model. The record is from RNAcentral.